UAAAAAUUUAAUUUGUAACAUUUGAGUAGUAUUAGUUAAGUUCUUGAAAUUUAAAAGAUUUGGCGGUAUUUUAGUCUAUUCAGAGGAACCUGUUUUGUAAUCGAUAAUCCACGAUGGAUCUUACUUAAGUUUGUUUUAAUAGCUUAUAUGUCGUUGUUUAUAGAAUAUUUUUUAAAAAUAAUAAUUUUCUUAAGUUUAAAUUAAAAAUUAUAUCAGAUCAAGAUGUAGCUUAUACUUAAGUAUAUAAUGGGUUACAUUUUUUAUAUUAAUGGCUGUAUGAUUGUAAUAUUAUACUAAAAUUGGAUUUGAAAGUAAAUUUAUAGAGAUAAUAAUU
Molecule: ribosomal RNA, 334 nt
Filed under: Claraeola sp. Jeff Skevington 18979
Lineage: Eukaryota; Metazoa; Arthropoda; Insecta; Diptera; Pipunculidae
Description: partial 12S ribosomal RNA
Source: RNAcentral